CGGAUGAUUUAUCUGCGAACAAUGGGGAGAAAUUACAAGUUUUGUUAGUCUAGUUCCUAAUUUCUCGACUUUCCGCUCCAACUUUGCGGGUUCGGAGGGCGACGGUGGUAUUUUUGUCUGCCCUGGUUUGCCCUUGUUCCUAUUCCCCCCUCUCUCCCAGCUCUCUCGUCUUUACCGUCGUUUUAAUCUUUUCGCUUCCGAGAUUUAUUCACGUGAUUUACAGUUUGGAUUCGCACCAGGCGCUGUCAACCGUUGAGACAAAGGCGCCGCUCUCCGAUGAGACAGUUCUAUUCUCUCUAGUUCCACAAAGUAUCUCGCCUGCUUUCACGCCCGCCCAAACGAACGGAGAGCACAGCCGCGCUCUCUUCACCUCUGCACUCCAGCCGUUCUCCACUACCCACCUUCAGUACAUCCGAGAUUGUCUUCUGUUCUCUUAUAUUACCGAUCCUCCCUCGCAAUACCAAUUCCUCGCCUUUCCUCACUCCCCAGUUCCAGCUUUGUCUUCUUUACGAACUGGUGAACAGGCGUCAAACAAUUAUACCGACUGUGAAGAACUCAAAGGCAAACCAAAGUGUUUUUCUAAUCUCAGUCGACAACCACCGUCACAGGAUUUAAUCAAUCAUCUUUAUUUCAGACCUCGGUAUUUUGUGAGAAACUUCGUAGGCACGAAGUUGAUAUAUAGAUGACUAAAAAAUCUUCACCACCUGUUUUCUUGUCACGUGAAAAACAAGUUGAGCUCUGAUCAAUUUAAAAUCACCGCUGUUGUCUCACUUGAAAUUUUAUUUCAACUCUAAGACUGUUUCCAGCGCCUACGGAUUAUCCAGCGCUACUUUGGCCGGGAGGAAAUGAUGGUAGAAGCGGUUUGGUUAUGGUUCCACUUGCAGCGAUAUCCUAAAAGCUCAAAAUUUCAAAUCCGAAAUGCACUAGUCCUUUCUACACUGUUCCAUCGUCCAUGGUUCACGGUCUUCAGAAAGCAGCAUUGAUCGAAAAAAAAAUGUUUGCACGUCUUAGCGUCCCGAUCUGUUUUUCCAUGAUGAAUGAAAUUGAACUGUUUUCUUGUUCAGACCAACCCGAAAGCUCGAAGACGCAUCGUUGAAGGCUUGGAUCAGACGCUGAGUCCAGGCGUAAUUUAUAUUCAUCGGAAAGUUUGAUACUUAGAUACAGUUGAGGAGUUAAGGCGGAGUGAUUUUCUUUCCGCCACUUCCUUCGGAACGAGGACAGAUAAUAAUGGAGAAUAGAAAAAUAUACUAGAAUGGACGGACGAAUAGCUGUCGCGGUUAGAAAGCCACCGCCGGCUGCGCCGAUCGACCUUUUAUUCGUCAACAAUCGAUCUCCAUAAAAUAGCGUUACGCCGCAAAAUGAGCUCCUAUCCUAUGCGGGUAGUUCGAAUGCGGCGAACCCCUUCAGCGCACCCGAAUCCCAUUCCUAAUAUUGCGCACUUCUUCAAUACCGGGUUGAAAAAUUCCUCUCCGUUUUGGCAAGAAUCAAAAACGCUUUAUGUGAUAUUUUCCUUUAAAUUGUUGAAGUUGGAAUCUGACAGAAGUCAACUGUUUCGUGACCGUCUUUUGAUAUAAUUUUAAAAAAACCAUUGUUCCUUAUUCCCUGUGUACAUUAUACGUAUUCCCUGAAACCCCUGCGCCGUUGGUUAAUUUAAUUUGCGCGGGCACAAAAGGCGCUACCCACAAUACAACGAGACCGGUUUCCUUCCAGCCACCUUGAACGAUACCUUGAAACCGUUUACUCGUUUUACAGAAGGAAAAGCGCCUCAGUUUUCUGACAUUUUUUCGCCCGUGCACGUACAGCUUUCACACAUAUAUUGGCAUCAUGAACGCCUUAUUCGAGAGAUCGAAUUCUGCAGUCCUGAUUCGUUAGAAUCGUCAAGGAUGGUGAAAAAAAAUCAGUAAUCUAAUUUCAUACCGCGCAAAUCAGCGCCGAUGCAUGCAAUGGCAAAUUUUCGGGGCAAACACAAUGCGCAGAGUAGCAAAUAGAAAAAAUCUCUCGGACAUCGGAGAGAGUGAAUUCAUGUACAUAUAUGGGGGAUAACGAGCGGCAGGUUGUCCUAGAAAUUGCGUCUAUUUAUUGAUCGCCCGUAUAUACAUAUUCACCUGUGCAUUACACUCGCCUAGAUACGUCGAGAUGUGACGACAUAUUCGUCAAGCUCUAAAAAUUUCGACUUGCCAACGAGCGCGUUUUAUGCAUAAAAUAUUUCGGAGGAAACGAGGAUGAAAAAAGUUAAUGAGUGGCUAAGCGGGAAAGUAUUAACUCAUAUAUCUGUUUUACUGGCAAAAAAUUCGGGCCGUUCGCGCUGCACUCGCCCGUGCUAUUAGCUCUUAAGUUAAGCCGGAAAUUCGAAUCCGGAUCUGCGCAGCCCCAGCUGCCGGGCGGCAAAGAGCCCUAAAGAAAUUUAUACCCUCUUUCAACCUCUUUGGAAAAAUACCUACGGCCAACCCUUCUCGCCGCUGCUGAACCUUAGCCCAACCCUCGAUCAACCCCUCAACCUCUUCACAGUCCCAGUGUAUCGGUGUACCGCUGAACUCUUUGGACUGCUCAGAUUCUUCCCAAUUUAUCGGCGAUCCUUCCCCGAAUGUACAAUCUAACGUGACUCCGUGUAUUUCAGUUUUCACGAUUACUUGACAAUAGCGUGAUAUAGCAGUUCUGUGAUGGAAUUGGUUUGUUGGUAGAGGAAGAAUGACACAUCAUCAUUUUUAUCUUGUAAUUUUUUAUUGAAAAAACAACAGAGUACAAUCAUCAUAUCACACAUCAUACAUAGUAUUAAAGUUCGAAACCAAAUCUUGGAUGACCGGAUGUUCAGAAAGUGACGUCACCCAAAUUUUUUUUUUUCCUGACGUCAUCGAUCUAUAGUAAUCGUCGACGACGAAAAUCAGCUAGCGGAAUUCCUCAGUCUGGAAACAACCGCGCAGUAGAGAGGACGGAUGAGAAUCGCAUUCCGCGGAUUUCGAGUACCAGGUUCUCUACCUCCUGGAUCCUGCGCUCCAGGUCCGCUACCUGGUGAAACUGGACUUCCGGGACAAGUGCUCCGUAGUUUCUGCGCUCCAGGUUCUCCACCCGGUGAAAUUCGACCUCCAGAACAAGCGCUGCGUGGUUCCUGCGCUCCAGGUCCUUCACCUGGUGAAUUUCGUCCUCUAGGACCAGCGCUCCGAAGUUCCUCAUAGUUGCUGCGCUGCCGGUGAUUUACCUAAUGAAUAGCGACUUCCAGGUCCUCUACCUGGUGAAUUUCAACCUUCAGGAUAAGCGCACCGGAGUUCCUGCGCCCCAGGUGAUUUACCUGACGAAUUACAACUUCCAAAUCCUCUACCUGAUGAAUUUCGACCUCCAGGACCAGUGCUCCGUAGUUCUUGCUCAGUGCAGUGAGCAGUGAGAUCGUUCGAAAAUUCAUCAGAAUGUUACGGGGUGGACGAUUGUAAUCAAGACGAGCGGCUAUCGCAGAGAGGAACUUGUACUGAGGAGUUAAAUGUUUGAGUACAUAAUUGAUGUAUUGUAAAAGAUAUGGAGCGUAGAAUGAGAAGAUGUGGAGGAGGAAAAGGGGUAGAGAGAUGAAUUUUGAGAUGUUGGCCAAAAGGAAGAUGACUCAAGAGUGUAUAUAUAGGGGGAAGGAUGCAAGGACUGGGUAAUUGCACUUUAGGAGUAGAGGGAGCACUCUGUUGAUAUUGUACGGGAACUGAGGCAGCAAGGUGAUGAUAAGAAGAGGAUGCAGGGUAUAAGAUAGCUGUAAGAGUGUGGGAAAUAAAUCUAAGGUCUGAAGGACGUAACAAUGAAAGAUCGGUUAGAGAAUAAAAUCAGAAAUAAUUCAGGACAGGGUGGCCACUCAAUUCCGAUCACGGAAUUCCCUGACAUUUCCCGGUUUUCCCUGACUAAAAUCAUUAUUUUUCCCUAACAUUUUGAUGCACAAUUUGUGCAGAAAUCACUAAAAACUAUAGUAACCUAGGUAAAGUAUGGUUAAAUAUAUUAAAGUUAUAAAAGUUUUUAAAAGUUGUUUAUUCCGUUCAUUAUGAUUUUUGAAAGUUGACAAAAAAUGAAAAUUUCCAUUUCUGUGGUCUUGUUAAGUAUAUAUUUAAGAAGGGGCUCCAAGAAGCGAAAUAUUUUUAGAGAUAUUAUUUGAACAUUUAUGCUGUUUGCAAUGAAAAUCGAGGUUUGAAGAAUUAUGAUUAAUUAACGAAUGUGUAACUUUUUGAAAAAUAAACUUAAAAAUUUUUUUCCAACGGGACAUUUUUCUUUUAAGUGUUAAGAAUACACCACAAUUUAUCCAAAUUUUUAAAUUGAUAUUUAUUACAGCAAAACAAUUAUUUUGUGCGGUGUACUGUCUAGAUGCGGCAUGUCUAUGCCGUAACAGUUGCGCAGAGCCCUAUGUUCAGCGUUAAAUUAAAAUUACUAAAAUUACUAUUGAAGAUAGAAUUCCUGGUGCUCGUACUUUUUCAUUGGAAAUUUCUUCUUCUUUAAGAAUCUUUUUAAAAUUUUCGCUAGUGCUUUUACUUUUUGAGUUAUUGCCAAAAAACUGAGGCUUCGUUUUUUCUAGACUAUUACGCGUCGGUGAACGUGCGUCUCCACACGCAAUGACGGCCAUAGAUAAAUCAGACCGAUGUCUGCUCGUACUACUGAAUUCAUGUGACAAUCAACAACUAAGCUCAUAAUCGUCAAUAAGAAGAGAAGAAAAAUUGGGACGAUGCGGUGAUAGCAUCUCAAUUUUAUGGACAAGGCUUUUGAAAUCCGUGAGUUCUAUAAAAAGUCCCUGACCAAC
Molecule: long non-coding RNA, 4756 nt
Filed under: Neodiprion pinetum (white pine sawfly)
Lineage: Eukaryota; Metazoa; Arthropoda; Insecta; Hymenoptera; Diprionidae
Description: uncharacterized LOC124218187
Source: RNAcentral